Molecule: small nucleolar RNA, 136 nt
Organism: Sorex araneus (European shrew)
Lineage: Eukaryota; Metazoa; Chordata; Mammalia; Eulipotyphla; Soricidae
Gene: SNORA72
Rfam family: Small nucleolar RNA SNORA72
About the family: U72 is a member of the H/ACA class of snoRNAs.
Source: Ensembl
CUGUGAAUAUGCUCGCUGUUCUGAUUUCAAAAUAAUCAUUACAAGCUAAAUAUCUGCUAUAAUAAGACCAUACAUGUGUCCCCAGACCUAGUUCUUUACCUACCUAAAUCUGGUCUUAGAAAUGCUUGUGAUAACU